GCAUAUCAAUAAGCGGAGGAAAAGAAACCAACAGGGAUUACCUCAGUAACGGCGAGUGAAGCGGUAACAGCUCAAAUUUGAAAUCGGGCUCUUUCAGGGUCCGAGUUGUAAUUUGUAGAAGAUGUUUCGGGUGUGGUUCCGGUCUAAGUUCCUUGGAACAGGACGUCAUAGAGGGUGAGAAUCCCGUAUGCGACUGGUCGCCUUCGCCCAUGUGAAACUCUUUCGACGAGUCGAGUUGUUUGGGAAUGCAGCUCAAAAUGGGUGGUAAAUUUCAUCUAAAGCUAAAUAUUGGCCAGAGACCGAUAGCGCACAAGUAGAGUGAUCGAAAGAUGAAAAGCACUUUGGAAAGAGAGUUAAACAGUACGUGAAAUUGUUGAAAGGGAAGCGCUUGCAACCAGACUCGCGCGCCGUCGAUCAUCCGGUGUUCUCACCGGUGCACUCGGCGGUGCUCGGGCCAGCAUCGGUUUCGGUGGUUGGAUAAAGGCCUUGGGAAUGUGGCUCCUCUCGGGGAGUGUUAUAGCCCUCGGUGCAAUGCAGCCUACCGGGACCGAGGACCGCGCUUCGGCUAGGAUGCUGGCGUAAUGGUUGUAAGCGACCCGUCUUGAAACACGGACCAAGGAGUCUAACAUCUAUGCGAGUGUUUGGGUGUCAAACCCAUACGCGUAAUGAAAGUGAACGGAGGUGAGAACCCUUAAGGGUGCAUCAUCGACCGAUCCUGAUGUCUUCGGAUGGAUUUGAGUAAGAGCAUAGCUGUUGGGACCCGAAAGAUGGUGAACUAUGCCUAAAUAGGGUGAAGCCAGAGGAAACUCUGGUGGAGGCUCGCAGCGGUUCUGACGUGCAAAUCGAUCGUCAAAUUUGGGUAUAGGGGCGAAAGACUAAUCGAACCAUCUAGUAGCUGGU
RNAcentral lists this ribosomal RNA (900 nucleotides) under Colipila masduguana. RNAcentral describes it as "LSU rRNA". It matches the Rfam family "Eukaryotic large subunit ribosomal RNA", at positions 38 to 955 of the family's 3401-position model. Lineage: Eukaryota; Fungi; Ascomycota; Leotiomycetes; Helotiales. The record is from RNAcentral.